UUUGUGAAUGAUUAAUUGUAGUAAUAAAAAACAAACAGAAAAGAAACGAAAGGACAUAAAAAAAAUUGGCUCUUCUUCUCCGCUCCUCUUCGACCGAAAUUCACAACGAAACAAAUACGAUUCCAGCUGAAUCUAAAUCGGUAUUCUGGAUUUUAAUAAAACCCAGAUACUUCAUCAAUAUCUUUUUGUGGUUAGAGAAUUGAUUCUCUAAACGGGUCAACGAUUUCUCUAAGAGAAACUCAGAUCUACCGUUACAAUCACUGCUUUUUGAUGUUCUUCAAAAUUGAUUGAACUGCCUUAACGUGGAAUUUGUCCCAUGUAAAUCCGGAUAUAAAACUGUUGAGGACUACGAUUAAACCAAAGAUAAGUAUUGAAAUCAAUGUUAAGUUUAAACAGUUAUUGGUUUUUAAGUUUACAAAACACUAAUACGAAUUUGUUUUGUGGUAGGCUGAUUCUGAAUUUUGGUUAUGAUGACUACACUUAGAAACUGGCAGUUGAGUAAAGAAUACAUCAGCACUUGAUAUUUCCUUAACGUGAAAUUUGAUGACUACACUUACAAACUGGCAGUCGAGUAAAGAAUAAAUCAUCACUUGAUACUUGAUGAUCCUGUAUUUCCAAGAAGAUGAUUAACAGCACAAUUUGGAAGUGAAUCAAUGAAGAAGACAUCUAUACUAUUAAUUGGCCUUAAGAUCAGAGAGAUUUGUGAAAGCAUCAUUGGCGGCCAUCUCUUUUUAAAAGAUCAUUUUGCGAAGAGAUAUAGAAUUAUUUACUUAUAGCAAAUGAUUACAGAAUCCGUAAUCUUUGGGAAUUAUUUACUACCUUGUGUCUCGGAGCUCAACCUUUAAUUGUUUUUGAAAUGGUAAGUUUUUCUACUCUAAAAUCCCGAAUUUGUUGGAGAGUAAAUGAUAACAUUGAAGAAUGUUGGUGCUUAGAUUUUUAAUGCAAGCUGUUUGAUCUUUUUAUUUACCUUAUAUUAUUGGGAGAACCAGUUUGUUUGGACACAUAGUUAGCUUAUGAAAGAUCCGAAUAAGUUAAUAGGCAAACAUAAAGAUCCGCGUGUUUUUCAAUUAAAGAUUAC
Molecule: long non-coding RNA, 1078 nt
Organism: Camelina sativa (false flax)
Lineage: Eukaryota; Viridiplantae; Streptophyta; Magnoliopsida; Brassicales; Brassicaceae
Source: RefSeq, a predicted model, not a curated record